Molecule: non-coding RNA, 1674 nt
Organism: Peromyscus maniculatus bairdii (prairie deer mouse)
Lineage: Eukaryota; Metazoa; Chordata; Mammalia; Rodentia; Cricetidae
Source: RefSeq, a predicted model, not a curated record
AUGUUGUCCAUGUGCGUCACUGCAGCUGUGGCCGGUGUCCUACCUCGAAGGGCAGGGCUGGUCUCCAAAAAUGCUCUGGGGACAUCCUUCAUUGGUUCAAGAAAUCUCCAUGCCUCUAAUACUCAACUUCAGAAUACUGCCACUGCUGAGAUGUCUUCCAUUCGUGAAGAGCAGAUUCUUGGAGCUGACACAUCUGUUGACCUCAAAGAGACUGGGCGUGUCUUAAGUAUUGGUGAUGGUAUUGCCCGAGUACAUGGGCUGAGGAAUAUUCAAACAGAGGAAAUGGUAGAAUUUUCUUCAGGCUUAAAGGGUAUGUCCCUGAACUUGGAACCUGACAAUAUUGGAGUUGUCAUGUUUGGAAAUGAUAAGCUAAUUAAAGAAGGUGAUAUUGUGAAGAGAACGGGAGCCAUUGCAGAUGUUCCAGUUGGUGAGGAACUGUUGGGCCAUGUCGUUGAUGCCUUUGGUAAUGCCAUUGAUGGAAAGGGUCCAGUUUGUUCCAAGACCUGUAGACAAGUAGACCUCAAAGCCCCUGAAAUCAUUCUCCAAAUCUCAGUGCUGUAACCAAUGCAGACUGGCACUGAGGCUGUGGUCAGCAUGAGGUUAUUAUUGGUGAUAGACAGACUGGGAAAACAUCAAUUGCUGUCAACACAAUCAUCAACCAGAAACUUCUCAUUGAUGGAAAGAAGAAGCUGUACUGUAUCUAUGUUGCUAUUGAUCAGAAAUGGCCCACUGUUGUCCAGUUGGUGAAGAGACUGACAGAUGCAGAUGCCAUGAAGAACACCACUGUGGUGCCAGCUUCUGCUUCUGAUGCUGCUCCACUCAGUAUUUGGCUCCUUAUACUGGUUGCACCAUGGGAGAAUAUUUUAGAGAUAAUGGCAUGCAUGCUUUGAUCAUCUAUGAUGAUUUAUCCAAACAGGCUGUGGCUUACCGCCAGAUGUCUCUCUUGUUGUGCCAACCCUCUGGUCGUGAAGCCUGUCCUGAAGAUGUGUUUUACCUGCACACUUGGCUGCUGAUGAGAGCAGCCAAGCUGAAUGAUUCUUUUUGUGGUGGCUCUUUGACUGCCUUACCAGUCACAGAAACCCAGGCUGGUGAUGUGUCCACUUACAUUCCAACAAAUGUUAUUUUAUCACUGAUGGACAGAUCUUCUUGGAAACAGAAUUGUUCUAUAAAGGCAUUUACCCUUCCAUUAAUGUGGGUUUGUCUGUAUCUCAGUCAUGUCAGAUCUGCUGCCAGACCAGGGCCAUGAGAUAGGUGGCGGGUACCAUGAAGCUGGAGUUGGCUCAGUAUCAGGAGGUUGCUGCAACUCAUGGUGUGUGUCUGACUGAGUUGUUAAAGUAAGGGCAGUACCCUCCCAUGGCUAUUAAAGGACAUGUGGCUGUUAUCUGUGCAGGUGUGAGGGGUUAUCUUGAUAAACUGGAUCCCAAUAAGAUCACAAAGUUUAAGAAUGUUUUGUUUCAUGUUAUCAGCCAGCAUCAGUCCCUCUUGGACAAUAUCAGAACUGACAGGAAAAAUCUCAAAGCAAUCAGAUGCAAAGCUGAAAGAGAUUGUAACAAACUUCUUGGCUGGUUUUGAACCAUAAAGCCCCAUGAAUCCAUGUCAGACACUGCUUUGGUUUUGUCAUUUAUUCUGGUAAAAUCAGCUCCAUUUGUAAAGGAUUGCCCUCAGAUGGAAGAG